Molecule: ribosomal RNA, 525 nt
Filed under: uncultured bacterium
Lineage: Bacteria
Description: partial 16S ribosomal RNA
Rfam family: Bacterial small subunit ribosomal RNA
Source: RNAcentral
GACGAACGCUGGCGGCGUGCCUAAUACAUGCAAGUCGAACGCUUCUUUUCUACCGAGUGCUUGCACUCACUUGAAAAGAAGAGUGGCGAACGGGUGAGUAACACGUGGGUAACCUGCCCAUCAGAAGGGGAUAACACUUGGAAAUAGGUGCUAAUACCGUAUAACAAUAGGAACCGCAUGGUUCCAAUUUGAAAGGCGCUUUCGGGUGUCGCUGAGGGAUGGACCCGCGGUGCAUUAGCUAGUUGGUGAGGUAACGGCUCACCAAGGCAAUGAUGCAUAGCCGACCUGAGAGGGUGAUCGGCCACACUGGGACUGAGACACGGCCCAGACUCCUACGGGAGGCAGCAGUAGGGGAUCUUCGGCAAUGGACGAAAGUCUGACCGGUGCAACGCCGCGUGAGUGAGGAAGGUUUUCGGAUCGUAAAGCUCUGUUGUGAGGGAAGAACAGCUUCCGGAGGAAAUGCCGGAGGUUUGCCGGUACCUCACCAGAAAGCCCCGGCUAACUACGUGCCAGCAGCCGCCGUAA